UUUCCGGUGGAUCCUGCCAGAGGUCACUGCUAUUGGGAUUCGACUAAGCCAUGCGAGUUGUGAGGGUUCGGCCCUCAGCUGACGGCUCAGUAACACGUAGAUAAUUUGCCCUUAGGUGGAGGAUACCCUCGGGAAACUGAGAAUAAUACUCCAUAGAUCUAGUCUGCUGGAAUGCUUUUAGAUCGAAAGAUUUAUCGCCUAAGGAUAAGUCUGCGGACUAUCAGGUUGUAGUCAGGGUAAAGACCUGACUAGCCUACGACGGAUACGGGUAGUGAGAGCUUUAGCCCGGAGAUGAUAUCUGAGACACGAUAUCAGGCCCUACGGGGCGCAGCAGGCGCGAAAACUUUGCACUGUGCGAAAGCACGACAAGGGAAUCCCAAGUGCUGGCUCGUAAGAGUCAGCUGUUUUUCUGUCUAAAACGCGGAGAGAGUAAGGGCUGGGUAAGACGGGUGCCAGCCGCCGCGGUAAUACCUGCAGCCCAAGUGGUGGCCGCUAUUAUUGGGCCUAAAACGUCCGUAGCCGGUUCUAUAAAUGCCUGGGUAAAUCGUACGGCUUAACCGUACGAAUUCCGGGUAGACUGUUCAACUUGGGACCGGGAGAGGCUAGAGGUACUCCUGGGGUAGAGGUGAAAUUCUGUAAUCCUAGGGGGACCACCAGUGGCGAAGGCGUCUAGCUAGAACGGGUCUGACGGUGAGGGACGAAGCCCUGGGGCGCAAACGGGAUUAGAUACCCCGGUAGUCCAGGGUGUAAACGCUGCUUGCUUGAUGUUAGUCGGGCUCCGAGCCCAACUAGUGUCGGAGAGAAGUUGUUAAGCAAGCUGCCUGGGGAGUACGGCCGCAAGACUGAAACUUAAAGGAAUUGGCGGGGGAGCACCGCAACGGGUGGAGCGUGCGGUUUAAUUGGAUUCAACCCCGGG
RNAcentral lists this ribosomal RNA (916 nucleotides) under uncultured Thermoplasmata archaeon. Its description in RNAcentral is "bacterial SSU rRNA". It matches the Rfam family "Archaeal small subunit ribosomal RNA", at positions 1 to 922 of the family's 1478-position model. The record is from RNAcentral. Lineage: Archaea; Methanobacteriati; Thermoplasmatota; Thermoplasmata.